This is a non-coding RNA of Brassica napus (rape), 89 nucleotides long. Lineage: Eukaryota; Viridiplantae; Streptophyta; Magnoliopsida; Brassicales; Brassicaceae. The record is from Rfam.
UGCAAUCAGUGAUGAAUAAAAUCGUCUGUAUUUAAUGACAAUCCUGUGAUUAUUCAACAUUAGAUCACCAUCUUUCGGCUGAGAUUGCA